RNAcentral lists this ribosomal RNA (481 nucleotides) under uncultured bacterium. Its description in RNAcentral is "bacterial SSU rRNA". It matches the Rfam family "Bacterial small subunit ribosomal RNA", at positions 20 to 507 of the family's 1533-position model. The record is from RNAcentral.
UGGCUCAGAGUGAACGCUGGCGGCAGGCCUAACACAUGCAAGUCGAGCGGCAGCGCGUCCGACCACCCUCGGGUGGUCGGAUGGCGGCGAGCGGCGGACGGGUGAGGAAUGCAUCGGAAUCUGCCUCGUUGUGGGGGAUAACGUAGGGAAACUUACGCUAAUACCGCAUACGACCUACGGGUGAAAGUGGGGGACCUUCGGGCCUCACGCGAUGAGAUGAGCCGAUGCCGGAUUAGCUAGUUGGCGGGGUAAAGGCCCACCAAGGCGACGAUCCGUAGCUGGUCUGAGAGGAUGAUCAGCCACACUGGAACUGAGACACGGUCCAGACUCCUACGGGAGGCAGCAGUAGGGAAUCUUGCACAAUGAGGGAAACCUUGAUGCAGCGACGCCGCGUGCGGGACGAAGGCCCUAGGGUUGUAAACCGCUUUCAGUAGGGACGAAAGUGACGGUACCUACAGAAGAAGCCCCGGCCAACUAUGUG